RNAcentral lists this ribosomal RNA (580 nucleotides) under Aureobasidium melanogenum. RNAcentral's name for it is "partial large subunit ribosomal RNA". It matches the Rfam family "Eukaryotic large subunit ribosomal RNA", at positions 298 to 897 of the family's 3401-position model. Lineage: Eukaryota; Fungi; Ascomycota; Dothideomycetes; Dothideales; Saccotheciaceae. The record is from RNAcentral.
GGUAAAUUUCUUCUAAAGCUAAAUAUUGGCGAGAGACCGAUAGCGCACAAGUAGAGUGAUCGAAAGAUGAAAAGCACUUUGGAAAGAGAGUUAAAAAGCACGUGAAAUUGUUGAAAGGGAAGCGCUUGCAAUCAGACUUGUUUAAACUGUUCGGCCGGUCUUCUGACCGGUUUACUCAGUUUGGACAGGCCAGCAUCAGUUUCGGCGGCCGGAUAAAGGCUCUGGGAAUGUGGCCUUCACUUCGGUGAAGGUGUUAUAGCCCAGGGUGUAAUACGGCCAGCCGGGACUGAGGUCCGCGCUUCGGCUAGGAUGCUGGCGUAAUGGUUGUAAGCGACCCGUCUUGAAACACGGACCAAGGAGUCUAACAUCUAUGCGAGUGUUCGGGUGUCAAACCCCUGCGCGUAAUGAAAGUGAACGGAGGUGGGAACCGCAAGGUGCACCAUCGACCGAUCCUGAUGUCUUCGGAUGGAUUUGAGUAAGAGCAUAGCUGUUGGGACCCGAAAGAUGGUGAACUAUGCCUGAAUAGGGUGAAGCCAGAGGAAACUCUGGUGGAGGCUCGCAGCGGUUUCUGACGUGCAAA